UGGGGAAUUUUCCGCAAUGGGCGAAAGCCUGACGGAGCGACGCCGCGUGGAGGAAGAAGUUUUUCGGAAUGUAAACUCCUGUCAUCAGGGACGAAUAAAGUGACGGUACCUGAGGAGGAAGCAUCGGCUAACUACGUGCCAGCAGCCGCGGUAAUACGUAGGAUGCAAGCGUUGUUCGGAAUUACUGGGCGUAAAGAGUACGUAGGCGGUAAUGCAAGUUUAAUAUUAAAGACCGAAGCUCAACUUCGGGAAUGUAUUAAAAACUGUAUUGCUAGAGGUUAAUAGAGGAAAUCGGAAUUCUCAGUGUAGCGGUGAAAUGCGUAGAUAUUGGGAAGAACACCGGUGGCGAAAGCGGAUUUCUGGGUUAAUACUGACGCUGAGGUACGAAAGUGUGGGGAGC
Molecule: ribosomal RNA, 400 nt
Filed under: uncultured bacterium
Lineage: Bacteria
Description: bacterial SSU rRNA
Rfam family: Bacterial small subunit ribosomal RNA
Source: RNAcentral